This 74-nucleotide transfer RNA is filed under the name Methanoculleus marisnigri. RNAcentral's name for it is "tRNA-Val". It matches the Rfam family "tRNA". Rfam says of the family: Transfer RNA (tRNA) molecules are approximately 80 nucleotides in length. Their secondary structure includes four short double-helical elements and three loops (D, anti-codon, and T loops). Further hydrogen bonds mediate the characteristic L-shaped molecular structure. tRNAs have two regions of fundamental functional importance: the anti-codon, which is responsible for specific mRNA codon recognition, and the 3' end, to which the tRNAs corresponding amino acid is attached (by aminoacyl-tRNA synthetases). tRNAs cope with the degeneracy of the genetic code in two manners: having more than one tRNA (with a specific anti-codon) for a particular amino acid; and 'wobble' base-pairing, i.e. permitting non-standard base-pairing at the 3rd anti-codon position. RNAcentral also lists the same sequence under 14 other names. Lineage: Archaea; Methanobacteriati; Methanobacteriota; Methanomicrobia; Methanomicrobiales; Methanomicrobiaceae. The record is from RNAcentral.
GGGCUCGUGGUCUAGCUGGUUAUGACGUCGCCUUCACACGGCGGAGGUCUCGAGUUCGAAUCUCGACGAGCCCA